UACGUAGGGUGCGAGCGUUAAUCGGAAUUACUGGGCGUAAAGCGUGCGCAGGCGGUUCGUUGUGUCGGCGGUGAAAGCCCCGGGCUUAACCCUGGGAAUGGCCGUCGAAACUGGCGAACUGGAGUGUGGCAGAGGGGGGGUGGAAUUCCGCGUGUAGCAGUGAAAUGCGUAGAGAUGCGGAGGAACACCGAUGGCGAAGGCAGCCCCCUGGGCUGACACUGACGCUCAGGCACGAAAGCGUGGGGAGCAAACAGG
Molecule: ribosomal RNA, 255 nt
Filed under: uncultured bacterium
Lineage: Bacteria
Description: partial 16S ribosomal RNA
Rfam family: Bacterial small subunit ribosomal RNA
Source: RNAcentral